GUUCUCCCAUGAAGAGUGGCCUUCUUCAGAGAAGGUGUGUCCAGCCAUCUGUUCGCAAGGGACACUGUCAACUUGAAAUCUUUUUGUUGUUAUUGUUGCCUUAUUUCAGUUUCAAAAACUUCAAAUUUUCCAAAUCUGGCAGCAGACGCAGACUAACAAAUUCGUGUCUGUCAGCCCACUAUUCCCCAACGAGAUGCCUGUGAGCAUGCUGAUUAUACAUAUGCAACUAAUUAGUGCCAUGGUUAGUAUAAGUUAAUGGAUUGAUUUACUUCCAGAUCCAGUUAAGUGGCAACCUCAUGCACACGGAGUAGCAGACACUGCCCCAUGAUUUCCCACUGAGUCUUGCCAGCCAAGCUGGUGACGCCAGACUUCCCAUCUCCUAAUCACAGAUUGCCUCCUAAAAGGUGCGAAGGGGGGAAGCUGUUUCAACAUGGGGGAGAAAACAUAGCACUCUUUUUUGAUGGAAGGGAUGGCUGUUCCUUACUGUAAAACCCAUACCCAUUUUGCUGCUUUGUUUCCUUUUCAUGAAGUGCUAAAGGCCGCUGGCACUGUUUUAAUGGCCCGUCUGGUUGAACAUAAGCAGCAAACUUUUGGCAGAGUGUAAAAGCCAACUCUUCAUCUAUAAAGCCCCGUAUAUCUGUGGUGCCAAAUAUCUUUCACACUAGUCCUCCUUACUUCCGCCUAAUGAUAAGUGAGGCCCUUGCACUGGCUAUGGCCAAAGAGGCCUGGUCAAGUCCAAGAGUAGCAGCUGCCUUGUUGUGAGGUGACAAGGUUUGGGCAGAGGAAACAUCAUCAGCGAGGACAAUGUCUCUACUGUUCCUGGCAUUCACUGGAAAGGAAGGAAAGACAUCAGUGAUGUAAACUACGCAGAUAGACAGACCUGCUACAAGCACUGGCAUCCCACAUACAGCAAUUCUCCUUCUACAGAAAAGGUCCUGUUCUCACUGGCACAAAUCUCCUGGCUGCAGGUUUUCAUUCCCCUUUGAAAAUCUACAAUAUUUCAGUCCUGGAAUAGUUAGCAAAGGAGAGAGGGAGCAAGAAUGUCCAUUCUCAAUCAAUUUUGAUCACACUGAAAAAUUUGUGUAUGACAGUCACAUAAAAGUCAUAUUUCAAUGAAAGUAUCAUGAACCAGGUGGAAAUAAAUCAAUCUAUCUCCAUAAACCUGACAAAGUUACCUGUACAGAGCAUCUAGGAGUUCCAGAGACAAGAAGAGGCUCACUCUAUCUUGAAAGCUCUGCAGUGCUAAUUACAGGCUGGAUUAUGAAAAUUGUAUACUUUAAA
Cygnus olor (mute swan) is the source of this 1281-nucleotide long non-coding RNA. RefSeq lists it as uncharacterized. The record is from RefSeq and is a predicted model, not a curated record. Lineage: Eukaryota; Metazoa; Chordata; Aves; Anseriformes; Anatidae. The transcript is spliced from 3 exons.